AUUGCAGUGCAGGAGGAAAGUCCGGGCAACACAGAGCAUUCUGCUUCUUAAUGGGAAGUCGUCCGCAAGGGUGAACCAGUGUAGAAGAAAAUAACCGCCCUACGCCAUUAGGUGUUUAGGGUAAGGGUGAGAAGGUAAGGUAAGAGCUUACCAGCCAUGUGGUGACAUGUGGGCUGUACACGUCAGAAGUUGAAAGUUCAUGUAUACCAACGUCAGAGGGCUGCUCGUCCGAGAUAAUUGUAUUUUGCUACAACACGUUGGAGGGUAGAACGAUAGAGCACGUCGGCGACGGCGGGCGCGGAUAAAUGACAAGCACUACGCAUUAUUUUAUAUAAUUGCGUAAGUACAGAACCCGGCUUAUAGGCCGACUGA
Molecule: RNase P RNA, 372 nt
Filed under: uncultured Prevotellamassilia sp.
Lineage: Bacteria; Pseudomonadati; Bacteroidota; Bacteroidia; Bacteroidales; Prevotellaceae
Description: Bacterial RNase P class A
Rfam family: Bacterial RNase P class A
About the family: Ribonuclease P (RNase P) is a ubiquitous endoribonuclease, found in archaea, bacteria and eukarya as well as chloroplasts and mitochondria. Its best characterised activity is the generation of mature 5'-ends of tRNAs by cleaving the 5'-leader elements of precursor-tRNAs.
Source: RNAcentral